RNAcentral lists this ribosomal RNA (497 nucleotides) under uncultured bacterium. Its description in RNAcentral is "partial 16S ribosomal RNA". It matches the Rfam family "Bacterial small subunit ribosomal RNA", at positions 28 to 507 of the family's 1533-position model. The record is from RNAcentral.
GAUGAACGCUGGCGGCGUGCCUAAUACAUGCCAGUCGAGCGAACAGACGAGGAGCUUGCUCCUCUGACGUUAGCGGCGGACGGGUGAGUAACACGUGGAUAACCUACCUAUAAGACUGGGAUAACUUCGGGAAACCGGAGCUAAUACCGGAUAAUUUAUUGAACCGCAUGGUUCAAUAGUGAAAGACGGUUUUGCUGUCACUUAUAGAUGGAUCCGCGCCGCAUUAGCUAGUUGGUAAGGUAACGGCUUACCAAGGCGACGAUGCGUAGCCGACCUGAGAGGGUGAUCGGCCACACUGGAACUGAGACACGGUCCAGACUCCUACGGGAGGCAGCAGUAGGGAAUCUUCCGCAAUGGGCGAAAGCCUGACGGAGCAACGCCGCGUGAGUGAUGAAGGUCUUCGGAUCGUAAAACUCUGUUAUUAGGGAAGAACAAAUGUGUAAGUAACUAUGCACGUCUUGACGGUACCUAAUCAGAAAGCCACGGCUAACUACGUG